UGAGUACUAAGGUCUCAGUCCUAAGAUGGA
RNAcentral lists this non-coding RNA (30 nucleotides) under Rattus norvegicus (Norway rat). Lineage: Eukaryota; Metazoa; Chordata; Mammalia; Rodentia; Muridae. The record is from RNAcentral.